CAGGAUAGAGUCUGGCUUUAACAUCUUCAUUAUAGUGAUGUUUUUAUUUUAAAAACUCGAUUCUUUGACAGUAAAGUAUAUCUACUUCAGUUUACUGGAUAUCGACGAGCGGUACCUGUUGAAAAAGGUUUGAAAAGCACUGAUCUAGAUCUAGAUCUACUGGGUAAUAGUUGAAAGCAAUCGUAUAUUUACUAAAUUCUUUAUCACUUAGCCGAAAUUCGUAUCUAUAGUUUUGUAUAUAAAUAACAAAAUGGCGAGUGUUUUGCUUUCACACUCACAGCAUUCGCAGGUUGAAACUUUAAAGAGGCGUAAGAAACAAAAUAAAAUUCUAAAAAAAUAAAUAAACUAAAAAUUCUUUUGUCUGUUCGCGAACAUUUAUAUUUAUCGGAUGAAGCAACACGGUGUGUCUGUCGACUGCGAAAUUCUCAGCAGCAGCAACUCAAUAUUUGGUAUCAGGCUUUUCUGCCAGCAGUCUCUUCUUCCUCAAGAUGACAUUUCUGACGUGUUCCUUAGGAUGGUCAUGUUGGUUUUUGAUUAUGUCAUUAAGGAUGUGCUGUUGAGCGAAAAGACUACUACACAGUGGAAACUGGUUCAAGAACAGAUGACUAAUUAACAACAAUGAAAAGACAAAUCAGAAACAAGAGGAGAGGCAUUUACUACACAUGUGCAGUUUGUUUGGUUUUAUUUACAGUAAUUAUUUUAAGAUCCGCCAAACAGUCAAAGAUCUCAAAGUUGAGACUUAAAUCUCGAAUGGAUUCUUAUUUUUCAGUUGAUUGUGUCUAACACAAAUAAGAUGGAACUGAAGCAUCCCACAUGCACAAUAGCAAUGAAGAGAACUAUGAGAGAGGAUAUGAAUUGUGGCUUAUGGUUAAAGCCAAAAAGAGAAAUCAAAAUAUUAAAUUGUAUGGCCUUACUUGGGCAUUUUCUGGUUGGAUUGGUCAAGGCACACAUAAUCCUUAUACAAAUGUUUCUCUGACAGCUUACAUUGUUUGAUGGAUUACUGGAGCUAAAAGAAGGCAUAAUUUAACAAUAGUCUACAUUGGGAUUUUGCAUUUUGGAAAGUGUUAUGCAAAAGUGAUUCUGUUCACAUCUGCCAUUAUCCAAGCACAUAUGAUUCUCCUGAGGCUUACAUCACUGGAAAAAGUCUUUCGGCCUCUGAAGAUUACAGUACAUGUAAUGCUGCAAAUGGAGGAGGAUGCUGGGCCAGAUAUAUAUAUAUAUAUAUGGAGAGAGAGCAUAAAGGAAGGGUCACGGAUUGCAGAUGUCAUACACAACGGAAGCAGAAAGAAGGGUAAAAAUGCAACGGCGCCUGGUGAUUAUAUAUACCCAACCUGCGAUCGCAGCAGUGUAUCAAGGAUUGGCCUCUUUAGUCACACAAGAAGUUGCAAAGGAUUUGAUUUGGUGAUCCCUCUUCAGAAACAUCAGGUAUGUUAUUUAAAUUUAUGCAUUAACAACCAAAUAAUAAUGACUAGAUAUUUCUUAUGAAAUAAUAGUUAUUAUGUGUACUCCUCAAAAGUUGUAUUGGAAUAAUUUGUUUUUAAAACAAAGCUGGACAUUAAAUUCAAUUGUGAUUGAUUUCAACCCACUGAUACAAGGGGCAUGCUUGCAAGUAUAGCAGCCAAAAAAAAACUAAAUAAACAAUAACCAUACUUUUAGACUUAGAUCCUCCCCCUCUGUUUGGUGCAUUGAGUGGCAAGCUGUCUCCAAAAAGAUCUGUCUGAAGUCUGUUCACCCAUAUUUAUAGAAAUAUAAAAAGAUUCUGACUUCUAGAAAAGAUAAAAAAUGGAAAAGCUAACUAAACUUUGACAAUGUAAUGGAAAAAAAAUCAAUGUUGAACCAUCCUAAUAGUUUGUGAUGAGAAAUGUCAUCAGCCACCUUGGCAGCAGUACCAAAAAAACUGCCAAGCCAAAUGUUAGGCACUGUCAUUUUUGUCUAGUAAAUGAUGUUUCACAGCAAUACAGUGCAGCCCUUCAUCAGAACAAUGUUGCCUGAGUACUGAAACUUAAAUAAGUUUAGAAACCUUUGAAAGCAUCUUGUCAAAUUACAACCAAUACCUUCUGAAGAACUUUAUAAAAUGGUACUCAAAACAGCUUAGUUUUCUCUUUUAGUGAGUGCUGACAAAACAUUAAUGAGGAAGUGGACUCAAGAUAAGGAUACCAUCAUUUAUAUUACAUUUAACUUAUGCAUUACACUUUUUAUAUUUUAAUUUUGCAUUUUAAAAUGUAAUUUUUGCUUGCAAUAUUUUAUCAACUUUUUUUUUUUUUAGAUCAAAGGAAUGUACAUGCUGCUGAUAUAGAAAAAGUUUCUGACUGCUUACAGAUCAGUGUUCUUAGUUCUGCUAUUGAUUUACUAUUGCAUAAUAAAUAAACAUGUAAUGAUCAAUCACAUUUUUAUACCAAGUUCAUCUAAUGAUUUGCACAGCAUAUUAUCAGCAUUCACAGUUCAUCUAAUGAUCUACAUAUGAAGCAGCACCAUGCAGAGCUAACAUCACCUACUGAAGAGAGUUUCCAUCAUGCUUUAGCAACAAUCCAAAAACAAAAUGAAAAAGUGGUUUCUUUGUUUGGGACAAGUCCUGAAAGGCCUUCAGAAUCUGGGAGCACACUAUUGUUAACAAGCAGUGUGUCAUAUGACCAGCUCAAUGACCAACAGCCUUUACUUUUCGAACCAAAGUCAGGACACUGUUCAAAGAUAUUUUAAGAUGUUGGCCUCACAUCUUGACACUUGUUAGAGUGUAAAGAUUUGACUUAACAAAUGUUAAAAUAAAAAGAGCACAUUGUGGAGAGUUGACCGUCAUUAAAAAAUGAUUGUCAGACUUCUGCUAGAUGUUGAUCUUUUCAUCACAACACCAAUAACUUCUUCUUGGAGUCAAGUAACAGUGUAUAUCACCUGAAAAAGCUAUUUAAAUUCCCUUAAAGAUCACAAAUUAAUGCUGAUGACAUAAAGCACAUUUAUCCACGAAAUCUUAUGAACACAUAAUAUUAUGUUGUACAACUAAAUAGUGGUGUCUGGAAAUUUAGGCAGUGUGUAUGUAGUGUAUAUGCUUAUUUAUUAUUUAUCUGUUUCUUAAACAUAGGCUUAUGUUCCCCGCGCUACCCAAACUAUAAUUCGGAGUGUGAAACAUAACAGAUUAACAGGUGCUAUAUUAUGUUUCGUUUAACAAAGAUUUUCUUACACUCUACAUAUUCCUCCCCCCCCCCGAGAGGUGGGCCAGGGGUAGUGGUAAGUAUUAUAAUCACGUACUGAGAAGACCUAACGGCGAGCGAGAAAGGGGUUACGUCGUCACUAGAUCUGUGUCAGCUCAAUACAAUUUUUUCUCUUCGUGGUGUAGUCUUAAUCAUAAACAGAUAAAAAUUAAAGUUUUAAGAUACUGUUAAUCUUCUAUAAUAAAAUGCUUAUUUCUUAUAGUAAUACGUUUCCCGUACUAGAUCUUUAUAAUUUAUUGUCAUUGCUCUAUAUAGUAUAGAUCACUUACUCACAAUGCAUACUUUUGUUGAAAAGAAAAA
This is an RNA transcript of Biomphalaria glabrata, 3503 nucleotides long. RefSeq lists it as uncharacterized. The transcript is spliced from 9 exons. The record is from RefSeq and is a predicted model, not a curated record. Lineage: Eukaryota; Metazoa; Mollusca; Gastropoda; Planorbidae.